Molecule: ribosomal RNA, 503 nt
Filed under: uncultured bacterium
Lineage: Bacteria
Description: bacterial SSU rRNA
Rfam family: Bacterial small subunit ribosomal RNA
Source: RNAcentral
GAUGAACGCUAGCUACAGGCUUAACACAUGCAAGUCGAGGGGAAACGAUAGAGAAAGCUUGCUUUUUCUAGGCGUCGACCGGCGCACGGGUGAGUAACGCGUAUCCAACCUGCCCAUCACUUGGGGAUAACCUUGCGAAAGUAAGACUAAUACCCAAUGACGUCUCUAGAAGACAUCUGAAGGAGAUUAAAGAUUUAUCGGUGAUGGAUGGGGAUGCGUCUGAUUAGCUUGUUGGCGGGGUAACGGCCCACCAAGGCGACGAUCGGUAGGGGUUCUGAGAGGAAGGUCCCCCCACAUUGGAACUGAGACACGGUCCAAACUCCUACGGGAGGCAGCAGUGAGGAAUAUUGGUCAAUGGACGAGAGUCUGAACCAGCCAUGCCGCGUGCAGGAUGACGGCUCUAUGAGUUGUAAACUGCUUUUGUACUAGGGUAAACUCACCUACGUGUAGGUGACUGAAAGUAUAGUACGAAUAAGGAUCGGCUAACUCCGUGCCAGCAGCCG